This 609-nucleotide ribosomal RNA is filed under the name uncultured bacterium. Its description in RNAcentral is "bacterial SSU rRNA". It matches the Rfam family "Bacterial small subunit ribosomal RNA", at positions 75 to 683 of the family's 1533-position model. The record is from RNAcentral.
UGUGCUUGCACAUCGCUGACGAGUGGCGGACGGGUGAGUAAUGCUUGGGAACUUGCCUUUGCGAGGGGGAUAACAGUUGGAAACGACUGCUAAUACCGCAUAAUGUCUACGGACCAAACGGGGCUUUUGGCUCCGGCGCAAAGAGAGGCCCAAGUGAGAUUAGCUAGUUGGUGGGGUAAAGGCUCACCAAGGCAACGAUCUCUAGCUGUUCUGAGAGGAAGAUCAGCCACACUGGGACUGAGACACGGCCCAGACUCCUACGGGAGGCAGCAGUGGGGAAUAUUGCACAAUGGGGGAAACCCUGAUGCAGCCAUGCCGCGUGUGUGAAGAAGGCCUUCGGGUUGUAAAGCACUUUCAGUUGUGAGGAAAGGUUGGUAGUUAAUACCUGCCAGCUGUGACGUUAACAACAGAAGAAGCACCGGCUAACUCCGUGCCAGCAGCCGCGGUAAUACGGAGGGUGCGAGCGUUAAUCGGAAUUACUGGGCGUAAAGCGCACGCAGGCGGUUUGUUAAGCUAGAUGUGAAAGCCCCGGGCUCAACCUGGGAUGGUCAUUUAGAACUGGCANACUANAGUCUUGGAGAGGGGAGUGGAAUUCCAGGUGUAGCGGUG